RNAcentral lists this transfer RNA (73 nucleotides) under Ovis aries (sheep). It matches the Rfam family "tRNA". Rfam says of the family: Transfer RNA (tRNA) molecules are approximately 80 nucleotides in length. The record is from Rfam by way of RNAcentral. Lineage: Eukaryota; Metazoa; Chordata; Mammalia; Artiodactyla; Bovidae.
UCCCUGGAGGUCCAACGGUUAAGACUUUGCCCUCCAAUGCAAGGAAGUGCAGGUUUAAUCCCUGCUCAGGGAG